UGCUAGUUGUACGAGUUUAGACUCGUAGCAGAUAGCUCAGUAACACGUGGCCAAACUACCCUAUGGAUCCGGACAACCUCGGGAAACUGAGGCUAAUCCGGAAUACGGCUCUCAGCCUGGAAGUGGCGAGAGUCAGAAACGCCCCGGCGCCAUAGGAUGUGGCUGCGGCCGAUUAGGUAGACGGUGGGGUAACGGCCCACCGUGCCCAUAAUCGGUACGGGUUGUGAGAGCAAGAGCCCGGAGACGGUAUCUGAGACAAGAUACCGGGCCCUACGGGGCGCAGCAGGCGCGAAACCUUUACACUGCACGAAAGUGCGAUAAGGGGACUCCAAGUGCGAGGGCAUAUAGUCCUCGCUUUUCACCACCGUAAGGAGGUGGUAGAAUAAGUGCUGGGCAAGACCGGUGCCAGCCGCCGCGGUAAUACCGGCAGCACGAGUGAUGACCGCUCUUAUUGGGCCUAAAGCGUCCGUAGCUGGCCACGCAAGUCUAUCGGGAAAUCCGCGCGCUCAACGCGCGGGCGUCCGGUGGAAACUGUGUGGCUUGGGACCGGAAGAUCCAGGGGGUACGUCCGGGGUAGGAGUGAAAUCCCGUAAUCCUGGACGGACCACCGGUGGCGAAAGCGCUCUGGAAAGACGGAUCCGACGGUGAGGGACGAAAGCUCGGGUCACGAACCGGAUUAGAUACCCGGGUAGUCCGAGCUGUAAACGAUGUCUGCUAGAUGUGCCACAGGCUACGAGCCUGUGGUGUGUCGUAGGGAAGCCGUGAAGCAGACCGCCUGGGAAGUACGUCCGCAAGGAUGAAACUUAA
Molecule: ribosomal RNA, 807 nt
Filed under: uncultured euryarchaeote
Lineage: Archaea; Methanobacteriati; Methanobacteriota
Description: bacterial SSU rRNA
Rfam family: Archaeal small subunit ribosomal RNA
Source: RNAcentral